RNAcentral lists this ribosomal RNA (155 nucleotides) under Ophiocordyceps sinensis. RNAcentral's name for it is "5.8S ribosomal RNA". It matches the Rfam family "5.8S ribosomal RNA". From Rfam's summary of the family: 5.8S ribosomal RNA (5.8S rRNA) is a component of the large subunit of the eukaryotic ribosome. Lineage: Eukaryota; Fungi; Ascomycota; Sordariomycetes; Hypocreales; Ophiocordycipitaceae. The record is from RNAcentral.
AACUUUCAACGACGGAUCUCUUGGUUCUGGCAUCGAUGAAGAACGCAGCGAAAUGCGAUAAGUAAUGUGAAUUGCAGAAUUCAGUGAACCAUCGAAUCUUUGAACGCACAUUGCGCCCGCCAGCACUCUGGCGGGCAUGCCUGUCCGAGCGUCAU